GGUAGGGGGCGGGCUCCGGCGCUGGGACCCCACUAGGGUGGCGCCUUG
Nomascus leucogenys (northern white-cheeked gibbon) is the source of this 48-nucleotide microRNA precursor. Lineage: Eukaryota; Metazoa; Chordata; Mammalia; Primates; Hylobatidae. The record is from Ensembl.